AUUGAACGCUGGCGGCAUGGCUAAUGCAUGCAAGUCGAACGAAAGCCCUUCGGGGCGAAAGUGGCGAAAGGGCGAGUAAUACGAUCGAACGUACCCCAAGGUGGAGGAUAGUGUCGGGAAACGUAGACGGUAAUACUCCAUGUGCUCUUCGGAGGGAAAGACUUUGGUCGCCUCGGGAGGCGGCGAUCGUCCUAUCAGGUAGUUGGUGAGGUAAUGGCUCACCAAGCCGAAGACGGGUAGCGGUGUGAGAGCAUGACCCGCCGCAUCGGGACGUGAGACACUGCCCGGACUCCUACGGGAGGCUGCAGCGACGAAUCUUCCGCAAUGGGCGCAAGCCUGACGGAGCAAUGCCGCGUGUGGGACGAAGCGUCUUCGACGUGUAAACCAACUGUCAGAAUCUAGGAACACUGACCAGAUUCAAAGGAAGGGCCGGCUAACCUCGUGCCAGCAGCCGCGGUAAAGU
RNAcentral lists this ribosomal RNA (463 nucleotides) under uncultured bacterium. RNAcentral describes it as "bacterial SSU rRNA". It matches the Rfam family "Bacterial small subunit ribosomal RNA", at positions 29 to 526 of the family's 1533-position model. The record is from RNAcentral.